GAUGAACGCUAGCGGGAGGCCUAACACAUGCAAGUCGAACGGGAUUGAGAGCUUGCUCUCAUGAGAGUGGCGCACGGGUGAGUAACGCGUAUGCAACCUACCUUUAACUGAGGGAUAGCCCAUAGAAAUGUGGAUUAAUACCUCAUAGUUCUGCGAGACCGCAUGGUUUUGCAGAUAAAGCUCCGGCGGUUAAAGAUGGGCAUGCGUGACAUUAGCUAGUUGGUGAGGUAACGGCUCACCAAGGCUACGAUGUCUAGGGGUUCUGAGAGGAUGAUCCCCCA
This 281-nucleotide ribosomal RNA is filed under the name uncultured Bacteroidota bacterium. Its description in RNAcentral is "uncultured Bacteroidetes bacterium partial 16S ribosomal RNA". It matches the Rfam family "Bacterial small subunit ribosomal RNA", at positions 28 to 310 of the family's 1533-position model. The record is from RNAcentral. Lineage: Bacteria; Pseudomonadati; Bacteroidota.